RNAcentral lists this ribosomal RNA (119 nucleotides) under Aegilops tauschii subsp. strangulata. Lineage: Eukaryota; Viridiplantae; Streptophyta; Magnoliopsida; Poales; Poaceae. The record is from RNAcentral.
GGAUGCGACCAUACCAGCACUAAAGCACCGAAUCCCAUUAGAACUCCGAAGUUAAGCGUGCUUGGGCGAGAGUAGUACUAGGAUGGGUGACCUCCUGGGAAGUCCUCGUGUUGCAUUCC